CUCCCAUUCCAACUUCUUCCAGCUGGGUUCGCUGAUCCUGCUCAUCUCAUACUUUGCAGUUAGGCCUGCAAAAGGACUAUCCCAGAGUCUCACUGGGUAGAAUGCAGUGGCUGUAGAGAUGGGGACGCCCAGGAUUUCCACAGCACAGCUGGCUGCCGACCUGUACCAGGCCCCAGUGACUGGCUUGCCCUUGGAAGCAUAAUGGUCUCCAGUUCCAGGCCACAUGAGCCCACGAAUCCUCUGGGAUUGAGCCAAGGCUUGGCAGGGGGCAGGGUUUGCAAAGCCACCUGCACAGGCAUUGAGCCUCGGCCCUAGGGAAAGGCACACACCACGGGUGCCCUCCUUACUGAAGUUCUGUACAGAGCCAAGAAGGAUGGAUCAGGCCUGCAGCUGAAGAGGAAACAAAGGCUGUUUUCAUGAAAGAUGUUAUUGAUUCCAUUUUUUAAAAAGGACGAAACCUCACUUAUAAAAAUGAGUCAUUGUGGGAAGCA
Molecule: long non-coding RNA, 491 nt
Organism: Carlito syrichta (Philippine tarsier)
Lineage: Eukaryota; Metazoa; Chordata; Mammalia; Primates; Tarsiidae
Exons: 4
Source: RefSeq, a predicted model, not a curated record